AAUAACAUUUAGAGCCUAAGGAACAUUCCCUAAGAUUUUGAAGAGGACUCCUACAACUGAUGAUAAUAUCGGCCCAAGAUGGAGUGUGAUGAUUUCUGACAGUCAGCCACCGGAAGGACUCCACCAGCUUCCUGAUUAAUGAAGACAAGGAAGGUACAGUAAAUGCUCAACUACU
This 175-nucleotide long non-coding RNA is filed under the name Ictidomys tridecemlineatus (thirteen-lined ground squirrel). Its description in RNAcentral is "lncRNA (ENSSTOG00000033373.1)". The record is from RNAcentral. Lineage: Eukaryota; Metazoa; Chordata; Mammalia; Rodentia; Sciuridae.